Molecule: long non-coding RNA, 402 nt
Organism: Solanum tuberosum (potato)
Lineage: Eukaryota; Viridiplantae; Streptophyta; Magnoliopsida; Solanales; Solanaceae
Exons: 2
Source: RefSeq, a predicted model, not a curated record
CUGUAGUUACUUUUAAGGACAAGGAAACUGUAGCAGGACUAAUACUAGAUUUUUGCUUUAUCCAGUUCUUGGGGGUUUUAUUGUGUCAGUGAAAUUGAUGAAAUUGGAGAAUAAAUGGCAAGCAAUUCAGGGAAAGGAUCUCCAAUUAAUGGUUCUGUGUAUGUCUGUAACUUGCCCCUUGGUACAGAUGAAGAUAUGCUAGCUGAAUAUUUUGGCAGAAUAGGGGUGCUAAAGGAAAAUAUAGGUGAUCAAAUUUGAAUGAUAGCAGCAGGUCAACUCAAUAUAUUGGAGCGAACGAUAUACUGUUUUUGAACUACUAUUAUAUAUGUUAGAAUAGAUUGUGAAAUUUAUUGCUAGUACACCUCUUUAAAAUAUUUCUUUCUAAGUAUGUAGUACAAGACA